AGAGUUUGAUCAUGGCUCAGGAUGAACGCUAGCGGCAGGCCUAAUACAUGCAAGUCGAACGGUAUAUUAGGUAGCAAUACAUGAUAGAGAGUGGCGCAAGGGUGCGUAACACGUAUGCAACCUGCCCUCAACAGGAGGAUAGCUCGGGGAAACCCGGAUUAACCCUCCAUAAGAUUGGAUGGCGGCAUCGCCACCCAAUUAAAACCACGGUGGUUGAGGAUGGGCAUGCGCCUGAUUAGCUAGUUGGUGGGGCAACGGCCCACCAAGGCGAUGAUCAGUAGGGGAACUGAGAGGUUUGUCCCCCACACUGGCACUGAGAUACGGGCCAGACUCCUACGGGAGGCAGCAGUAGGGAAUAUUGGUCAAUGGGCGAGGGCCUGAACCAGCCAUGCCGCGUGCAGGAAGACGGCCUUCUGGGUUGUAAACUGCUUUUACCUGGGGAUAAAAAGCCCAUGCGUGGGACAUUGAAGGUACCAGGUGAAUAAGCACCGGCUAACUACGUGCCAGCAGCCGCGGUAAUACGUAGGGUGCGAGCGUUGUCCGGAUUUAUUGGGUUUAAAGGGUCCGCAGGCGGGAGAAUAAGUCAGUGGUGAAAUCCUAUCGCUUAACGAUAGAACUGCCAUUGAUACUGUUUUUCUUGAGUGUAGUUGAAGUUGGCGGAAUGUGUCAUGUAGCGGUGAAAUGCAUAGAUAUGACACAGAACACCGAUUGCGAAGGCAGCUAACUAAACUAUAACUGACGCUCAUGGACGAAAGCGUGGGGAGCGAACAGGAUUAGAUACCCUGGUAGUCCACGCUGUAAACGAUGA
RNAcentral lists this ribosomal RNA (808 nucleotides) under uncultured bacterium. RNAcentral describes it as "bacterial SSU rRNA". It matches the Rfam family "Bacterial small subunit ribosomal RNA", at positions 8 to 812 of the family's 1533-position model. The record is from RNAcentral.